AGAGUUUGAUCAUGGCUCAGAACGAACGCUGGCGGUAUGCUUAACACAUGCAAGUCGAACGAGUACGACCUAGCUUGCUAGGACCCAGCUAGUGGCAAACGGGUGAGUAACGCGUGGGAAUCUACCUAAUAGUUUGGAAUAGCAGCUGGAAACGGCUAUUAAUACCGUAUAAGCCCUCCGGGGGAAAGAUUUCUUGCUAUUAGAUGAGCCCGCGUUAGAUUAGCUUGUUGGUAGGGUAAUGGCCUACCAAGGCAAUGAUCUAUAGCUGGUUUGAGAGGAUGAUCAGCCACACUGGAACUGAGACACGGUCCAGACUCCUACGGGAGGCAGCAGUGAGGAAUAUUGGACAAUGGGCGAAAGCCUGAUCCAGCAAUACCACGUGACUGAAGAAGGCCUUAGGGUUGUAAAAGUCUUUCAGCAGGGAAGAUAAUGACGGUACCUGCAGAAGAAGCUCCGGUUAACUCCGUGCCAGCAGCCGCGGUAAUACGGAGGGAGCUAGCGUUGUUCGGAAUUACUGGGCGUAAAGCGCGCGUAGGCGGGUUUAAAAGUUGGAAGUGAAAUCCCGGGGCUCAACCUCGGAACUGCUUUCAAAACUAUAGACCUAGAGUUUGGCAGGGGAUAGUGGAAUUCCUAGUGUAGGGGUGAAAUCCGUAGAUAUUAGGAGGAACACCAGAGGCGAAGGCGACUAUCUGGACCAUUACUGACGCUAAGGCACGAAAGCGUGGGGAGCGAACGGGAUUAGAUACCCCGGUAGGUCCACGCCGUAAACGAUGGGUGCUAGAUAUUGGAGUAUUAACUUCGGUGACGAAGCUAACGCGUUAAGCACCCCGCCUGGGGAGUACGGUCGCAAGAUUAAAACUCAAAGGAAUUGACGGGGACCCGCACAAGCGGUGGAGCAUGUGGUUUAAUUCGAUGCAACGCGAAGAACCUUACCACCAUUUGACAUCCCUAUCGCGGAUUUCCGAGAGGAUUUCCUUCAGUUCGGCUGGAUAGGAUACACGUGCUGCAUGGCUGUCGUCAGCUCGUGUCGUGAGAUGUUGGGUUAAGUCCCGCAACGAGCGCAACCCUCACCCCUAGUUGCCAGCAGGUUAAGCUGGGCACUCUAUGGGAACUGCCGGUGACAAGCCGGAGGAAGGUGGGGAUGACGUCAAGUCCUCAUGGCCCUUACGGGCUGGGCUACACACGUGCUACAAUGGCGGAUACAGUGGGUUGCUACCUCGCAAGAGGAUGCUAAUCCCUAAAAUCCGUCUCAGUUCGGAUUGUUCUCUGCAACUCGAGAGCAUGAAGUCGGAAUCGCUAGUAAUCGUGGAUCAGCAUGCCACGGUGAAUACGUUCCCGGGCCUUGUACACACCGCCCGUCACACCAUGGGAGUUGGUUCUACCUUAAGCCGGUAAGUUAACUUUUAGAGACAGCCGUCCACGGUAGGGUCAGCGACUGGGGUGAAGUCGUAACAAAGGUAACC
RNAcentral lists this ribosomal RNA (1463 nucleotides) under uncultured prokaryote. RNAcentral describes it as "partial 16S ribosomal RNA". It matches the Rfam family "Bacterial small subunit ribosomal RNA". The record is from RNAcentral.